RNAcentral lists this ribosomal RNA (630 nucleotides) under uncultured bacterium. RNAcentral describes it as "bacterial SSU rRNA". The stretch from base 1 to 542 matches the Rfam family "Bacterial small subunit ribosomal RNA", at positions 338 to 873 of the family's 1533-position model. The record is from RNAcentral.
CCUACGGGAGGCAGCAGUGGGGAAUUUUGGACAAUGGGCGAAAGCCUGAUCCAGCCAUGCCGCGUGCAGGAUGAAGGCCUUCGGGUUGUAAACUGCUUUUGUACGGAACGAAAAGGUCUUUUCUAAUAAAGAAGGCUCAUGGCGGUACCGUAAGAAUAAGCACCGGCUAACUACGUGCCAGCAGCCGCGGUAAUACGUAGGGUGCAAGCGUUAAUCGGAAUUACUGGGCGUAAAGCGUGCGCAGGCGGUUAUAUAAGACAGUUGUGAAAUCCCCGGGCUCAACCUGGGAACUGCAUCUGUGACUGUAUAGCUAGAGUACGGUAGAGGGGGAUGGAAUUCCGCGUGUAGCAGUGAAAUGCGUAGAUAUGCGGAGGAACACCGAUGGCGAAGGCAAUCCCCUGGACCUGUACUGACGCUCAUGCACGAAAGCGUGGGGAGCAAACAGGAUUAGAUACCCUGGUAGUCCACGCCCUAAACGAUGUCAACUGGUUGUUGGGUCUUCACUGACUCAGUAACGAAGCUAACGCGUGAAGUUGACCGCCUGGGGGAGGUACGGCCGCGAGGUAGAACGUACGAAAGAAGUAGUACGACGUCGAGAGUAGCGACGACGACGACGAGGGAGGGAGGAGG